CCUACGGGAGGCUGUAGUGAGGAAUAUUGGUCAAUGGACGAGAGUCUGAACCAGCCAAGUAGCGUGAAGGAUGACUGCCCUAUGGGUUGUAAACUUCUUUUAUAUGGGAAUAAAAUGUUCCACGUGUGGGAUUUUGUAUGUACCAUAUGAAUAAGGAUCGGCUAACUCCGUGCCAGCAGCCGCGGUAAUACGGAGGAUCCGAGCGUUAUCCGGAUUUAUUGGGUUUAAAGGGAGCGUAGGUGGAUUGUUAAGUCAGUUGUGAAAGUUUGCGGCUCAACCGUAAAAUUGCAGUUGAAACUGGCAGUCGUGAGUACAGUAGAGGUGGGCGGAAUUCGUGGUGUAGCGGUGAAAUGCUUAGAUAUCACGAAGAACUCCGAUUGCGAAGGCAGCUCACUGGACUGCAACUGACACUGAGGCUCGAAAGUGUGGGUAUCAAACAGGAUUAGAUACCCCAGUAGUC
RNAcentral lists this ribosomal RNA (460 nucleotides) under uncultured bacterium. Its description in RNAcentral is "partial 16S ribosomal RNA". It matches the Rfam family "Bacterial small subunit ribosomal RNA", at positions 338 to 795 of the family's 1533-position model. The record is from RNAcentral.